This 253-nucleotide ribosomal RNA is filed under the name uncultured bacterium. Its description in RNAcentral is "partial 16S ribosomal RNA". It matches the Rfam family "Bacterial small subunit ribosomal RNA", at positions 524 to 776 of the family's 1533-position model. The record is from RNAcentral.
UACGGAGGGUGCAAGCGUUAUCCGGAAUCACUGGGUUUAAAGGGUGAGUAGGCUGCUGCAUAAGUCAGGGGUGAAAGUUUGUCGCUUAACGAUAGAAUUGCCUUUGAUACUGUGCUGCUUGAAAUUAGGUGAGGAUGGCGGAAUGUGACAUGUAGCGGUGAAAUGCGUAGAUAUGUCAUAGAACACCGAUUGCGAAGGCAGCUGGCUAACCUAAAUUUGACGCUGAGGCACGAAAGCGUGGGUAGCAAACAGG